RNAcentral lists this non-coding RNA (25 nucleotides) under Rattus norvegicus (Norway rat). The record is from RNAcentral. Lineage: Eukaryota; Metazoa; Chordata; Mammalia; Rodentia; Muridae.
UGUGAGAUACUCCGUUAAUUUGUAC